This 440-nucleotide ribosomal RNA is filed under the name uncultured bacterium. Its description in RNAcentral is "partial 16S ribosomal RNA". It matches the Rfam family "Bacterial small subunit ribosomal RNA", at positions 338 to 795 of the family's 1533-position model. The record is from RNAcentral.
CCUACGGGUGGCAGCAGUGGGGGAUAUUGCACAAUGGGCGAAAGCCUGAUGCAGCGACGCCGCGUGAGGGAAGACGGUCUUCGGAUUGUAAACCUCUGUCUUUGGGGAAGAAUAGAGACGGUACCCAACGAGGAAGCUCCGGCUAACUACGUGCCAGCAGCCGCGGUAAUACGUAGGGGGCGAGCGUUGUCCGGAAUUACUGGGUGUAAAGGGAGCGUAGGCGGGCGUGUAAGUUGAAUGUCUAAUCCACCGGCUCAACCGGUGAUCGCUUUCAAAACUGCAGUUCGUGAGUGAAGUCGAGGCAGGUGGAAUUCCUGGUGUAGCGGUGAAAUGCGUAGAUAUUAGGAGGAACACCAGUGGCGAAGGCGGCCUGCUGGGCUUUAACUGACGCUGAUGCUCGAAAGCGUGGGGAGCAAACAGGAUUAGAUACCCUAGUAGUC